RNAcentral lists this ribosomal RNA (1976 nucleotides) under Escherichia coli. RNAcentral's name for it is "bacterial LSU rRNA". It matches the Rfam family "Bacterial large subunit ribosomal RNA", at positions 969 to 2925 of the family's 2925-position model. Lineage: Bacteria; Pseudomonadati; Pseudomonadota; Gammaproteobacteria; Enterobacterales; Enterobacteriaceae. The record is from RNAcentral.
AUGUUAUCACGGGAGACACACGGCGGGUGCUAACGUCCGUCGUGAAGAGGGAAACAACCCAGACCGCCAGCUAAGGUCCCAAAGUCAUGGUUAAGUGGGAAACGAUGUGGGAAGGCCCAGACAGCCAGGAUGUUGGCUUAGAAGCAGCCAUCAUUUAAAGAAAGCGUAAUAGCUCACUGGUCGAGUCGGCCUGCGCGGAAGAUGUAACGGGGCUAAACCAUGCACCGAAGCUGCGGCAGCGACACUAUGUGUUGUUGGGUAGGGGAGCGUUCUGUAAGCCUGUGAAGGUGUACUGUGAGGUAUGCUGGAGGUAUCAGAAGUGCGAAUGCUGACAUAAGUAACGAUAAAGCGGGUGAAAAGCCCGCUCGCCGGAAGACCAAGGGUUCCUGUCCAACGUUAAUCGGGGCAGGGUGAGUCGACCCCUAAGGCGAGGCCGAAAGGCGUAGUCGAUGGGAAACAGGUUAAUAUUCCUGUACUUGGUGUUACUGCGAAGGGGGGACGGAGAAGGCUAUGUUGGCCGGGCGACGGUUGUCCCGGUUUAAGCGUGUAGGCUGGUUUUCCAGGCAAAUCCGGAAAAUCAAGGCUGAGGCGUGAUGACGAGGCACUACGGUGCUGAAGCAACAAAUGCCCUGCUUCCAGGAAAAGCCUCUAAGCAUCAGGUAACAUCAAAUCGUACCCCAAACCGACACAGGUGGUCAGGUAGAGAAUACCAAGGCGCUUGAGAGAACUCGGGUGAAGGAACUAGGCAAAAUGGUGCCGUAACUUCGGGAGAAGGCACGCUGAUAUGUAGGUGAAGCGACUUGCUCGUGGAGCUGAAAUCAGUCGAAGAUACCAGCUGGCUGCAACUGUUUAUUAAAAACACAGCACUGUGCAAACACGAAAGUGGACGUAUACGGUGUGACGCCUGCCCGGUGCCGGAAGGUUAAUUGAUGGGGUCAGCGCAAGCGAAGCUCUUGAUCGAAGCCCCGGUAAACGGCGGCCGUAACUAUAACGGUCCUAAGGUAGCGAAAUUCCUUGUCGGGUAAGUUCCGACCUGCACGAAUGGCGUAAUGAUGGCCAGGCUGUCUCCACCCGAGACUCAGUGAAAUUGAACUCGCUGUGAAGAUGCAGUGUACCCGCGGCAAGACGGAAAGACCCCGUGAACCUUUACUAUAGCUUGACACUGAACAUUGAGCCUUGAUGUGUAGGAUAGGUGGGAGGCUUUGAAGUGUGGACGCCAGUCUGCAUGGAGCCGACCUUGAAAUACCACCCUUUAAUGUUUGAUGUUCUAACGUGGACCCGUGAUCCGGGUUGCGGACAGUGUCUGGUGGGUAGUUUGACUGGGGCGGUCUCCUCCUAAAGAGUAACGGAGGAGCACGAAGGUUGGCUAAUCCUGGUCGGACAUCAGGAGGUUAGUGCAAUGGCAUAAGCCAGCUUGACUGCGAGCGUGACGGCGCGAGCAGGUGCGAAAGCAGGUCAUAGUGAUCCGGUGGUUCUGAAUGGAAGGGCCAUCGCUCAACGGAUAAAAGGUACUCCGGGGAUAACAGGCUGAUACCGCCCAAGAGUUCAUAUCGACGGCGGUGUUUGGCACCUCGAUGUCGGCUCAUCACAUCCUGGGGCUGAAGUAGGUCCCAAGGGUAUGGCUGUUCGCCAUUUAAAGUGGUACGCGAGCUGGGUUUAGAACGUCGUGAGACAGUUCGGUCCCUAUCUGCCGUGGGCGCUGGAGAACUGAGGGGGGCUGCUCCUAGUACGAGAGGACCGGAGUGGACGCAUCACUGGUGUUCGGGUUGUCAUGCCAAUGGCACUGCCCGGUAGCUAAAUGCGGAAGAGAUAAGUGCUGAAAGCAUCUAAGCACGAAACUUGCCCCGAGAUGAGUUCUCCCUGAGACUUUAAGUCUCCUGAAGGAACGUUGAAGACGACGACGUUGAUAGGCCGGGUGUGUAAGCGCAGCGAUGCGUUGAGCUAACCGGUACUAAUGAACCGUGAGGCUUAACCUU